UGUCCAUUAUUGUAAAAUAAUGGUAAAAUAAAACUGACGCAGCGUCAGAAGUCAGCUGGAGCAUAGUAGUCCUCUCGGGGAUGAAGGUC
Molecule: non-coding RNA, 89 nt
Organism: Candidatus Vogelbacteria bacterium
Lineage: Bacteria; Candidatus Vogeliibacteriota
Source: Rfam